AUUGAACGCUGGCGGCAGGCCUAACACAUGCAAGUCGGACGGCAGCACGGGAGCUUGCUCCUGGUGGCGAGUGGCGGACGGGUGAGUAGCGCUUGGGAAUCUGCCUGGCAUUGGGGGAUAACUCGGGGAAACUCGAGCUAAUACCGCGUACGCCCUGAGGGGGAAAGCAGGGGACUUGCUUGCAAGCCUUGCGAUGUCAGAUGAGCCCAAGCCGGAUUAGCUAGUUGGUAGGGUAAAGGCCUACCAAGGCGACGAUCCGUAGCUGGUCUGAGAGGAUGAUCAGCCACACUGGGACUGAGACACGGCCCAGACUCCUACGGGAGGCAGCAGUGGGGAAUAUUGGACAAUGGGGGCAACCCUGAUCCAGCCAUGCCGCGUGUGUGAAGAAGGUCUUAGGAUUGUAAAGCACUUUAAGUCAGGAGGAAGGCGCUCUGGUUAAUACCUGGAGUGAUUGACGUUACUGACAGAAUAAGCACCGGCUAACUUCGUGCCAGCAGCCGCGGUAAUACGAAGGGUGCAAGCGUUAAUCGGAAUUACUGGGCGUAAAGCGCGCGCAGGCGGUUCGAUAAGAAAGAUGUGAAAGGCCUGGGCUCAACCUGGGAAUGGCAUUUUUAACUGUCGGGCUAGAGUACGGUAGAGGGUGGUGGAAUUUCCUGUGUAGCGGUGAAAUGCGUAGAUAUAGGAAGGAACAUCAGUGGCGAAGGCGACCACCUGGACUGAUACUGACGCUCAUGUGCGAAAGCGUGGGGAGCAAACAGGAUUAGAUACCCUGGUAGUCCACGCUGUAAACGAUGUCAACUAGCCAUUGGUCUCCUUGUGGGAUAAGUGGCGCAGCUAACGCGAUAAGUUGACCGCCUGGGGAGUACGGCCGCAAGGUUAAAACUCAAAUGAAUUGACGGGGGCCCGCACAAGCGGUGGAGCAUGUGGUUUAAUUCGACGCAACGCGAAGAACCUUACCUGGCCUUGACAUCCACAGAACCUGCCAGAGAUGGCGGGGUGCCUUCGGGAACUGUGAGACAGGUGCUGCAUGGCUGUCGUCAGCUCNUNAGAUGAGAUGUUGGGUUAAGUCCCGUAACGAGCGCAACCCCUGUCCUUAAUUACCAGCACG
Molecule: ribosomal RNA, 1108 nt
Filed under: uncultured Gammaproteobacteria bacterium
Lineage: Bacteria; Pseudomonadati; Pseudomonadota; Gammaproteobacteria
Description: bacterial SSU rRNA
Rfam family: Bacterial small subunit ribosomal RNA
Source: RNAcentral